AUUGAACGCUGGCGGCAGGCCUAACACAUGCAAGUCGAACGAGUGGCGGACGGGUGAGUAAUGUCUGGGAAACUGCCCGAUGGAGGGGGAUAACUACUGGAAACGGUAGCUAAUACCGCAUACCAUCGGAUGUGCCCAGAUGGGAUUAGCUAGUAGGUUGGGUAACGGCUCACCUAGGCGACGAUCCCUAGCUGGUCUGAGAGGAUGACCAGCCACACGGGAACUGAGACACGGUCCAGACUCCUACGGGAGGCAGCAGUGGGGAAUAUGGCACAAUGGGCGAAAGCCUGAUGCAGCAAUGCCGCGUGUAUGAAGAAGGCCUUCGGGUUGUAAAGUACUGUCAGCGAGGAGGCGUUACUCGCAGAAGAAGCCUCGGCUAACUACGUGCCAGCAGCCGCGGUAAUUC
Molecule: ribosomal RNA, 406 nt
Filed under: uncultured bacterium
Lineage: Bacteria
Description: partial 16S ribosomal RNA
Rfam family: Bacterial small subunit ribosomal RNA
Source: RNAcentral